This is a non-coding RNA of Erinaceus europaeus (western European hedgehog), 324 nucleotides long. The record is from Rfam. Lineage: Eukaryota; Metazoa; Chordata; Mammalia; Eulipotyphla; Erinaceidae.
GGAUGUGAGGGCGAUCUGGCUGGGAAUCUGUCACCCCAUUGAUCACCGAGUCAAUUCAGCUGAUCUGGCUGGUUAGGUGGGUGUCUCCUUCCUCCUUCACUGCUCCAUGUGUGCUCCCCCACCUCCAAGCUGCAGCUCAGUUAAAGGGGAUUGCCUUCUCUCAAUAGAGACAGACUGGUCUUUGGUUGAGGGUAUAGGAUAGCUGAGCUCUCCUGCUAGAACCUUCAAAGAAGCUCUCAACGUCCAUUUGCAGGAGAAUGUAGGGUAGUCAAGCUCUUAGACACAUCCAAAUGAGGCUCUGCAUGUGGCAGUCUGCCUUAAAAA